Molecule: ribosomal RNA, 492 nt
Filed under: uncultured bacterium
Lineage: Bacteria
Description: partial 16S ribosomal RNA
Rfam family: Bacterial small subunit ribosomal RNA
Source: RNAcentral
AGUGAACGCUGGCGGUAGGCCUAACACAUGCAAGUCGAACGGCAGCACAGUAAGAGCUUGCUCUUACGGGUGGCGAGUGGCGGACGGGUGAGGAAUACAUCGGAAUCUGCUUUUUCGUGGGGGAUAACGUAGGGAAACUUACGCUAAUACCGCAUGCGACCUACGGGUGAAAGCAGGGGAUCUUCGGACCUUGCGCGAUUGAAUGAGCCGAUGUCGGAUUAGCUAGUUGGCGGGGUAAAGGCCCACCAAGGCGACGAUCCGUAGCUGGUCUGAGAGGAUGAUCAGCCACACUGGAACUGAGACACGGUCCAGACUCCUACGGGAGGCAGCAGUGGGGAAUAUUGGACAAUGGGCGCAAGCCUGAUCCAGCCAUACCGCGUGGGUGAAGAAGGCCUUCGGGUUGUAAAGCCCUUUUGUUGGGAAAGAAAAGCAGCAGGUUAAUACCCCGCUGUUCUGACGGUACCCAAAGAAUAAGCACCGGCUAACUUCGUG